This 465-nucleotide ribosomal RNA is filed under the name uncultured bacterium. RNAcentral's name for it is "partial 16S ribosomal RNA". It matches the Rfam family "Bacterial small subunit ribosomal RNA", at positions 28 to 507 of the family's 1533-position model. The record is from RNAcentral.
GACGAACGCUGGCGGCGUGCUUAACACAUGCAAGUCGAACGCUGAACCCGCUUCGGUGGGGGAUGAGUGGCGAACGGGUGAGUAACACGUGGGCAACCUGCCCCCGGCUCUGGGAUAACUCCAAGAAAUUGGGGCUAAUACCGGAUGUGACCGCUGGCCGCAUGGUCUGGUGGUGGAAAGGGUUUCCGGCUGGGGAUGGGCCCGCGGCCUAUCAGCUUGUUGGGGGGGUAGUGGCCUACCAAGGCGACGACGGGUAGCCGGCCUGAGAGGGUGACCGACCACACUGGGACUGAGACACGGCCCAGACUCCUACGGGAGGCAGCAGUGGGGAAUAUUGCGCAAUGGGCGGAAGCCUGACGCAGCGACGCCGCGUGGGGGAUGACGGCCUUCGGGUUGUAAACCUCUUUCAGCAGGGACGAAGCGCAAGUGACGGUACCUGCAGAAGAAGCACCGGCCAACUACGUG